This 1550-nucleotide ribosomal RNA is filed under the name Klebsiella pneumoniae. RNAcentral's name for it is "bacterial SSU rRNA". It matches the Rfam family "Bacterial small subunit ribosomal RNA". Lineage: Bacteria; Pseudomonadati; Pseudomonadota; Gammaproteobacteria; Enterobacterales; Enterobacteriaceae. RNAcentral also lists the same sequence under 1 other name. The record is from RNAcentral.
AAAUUGAAGAGUUUGAUCAUGGCUCAGAUUGAACGCUGGCGGCAGGCCUAACACAUGCAAGUCGAGCGGUAGCACAGAGAGCUUGCUCUCGGGUGACGAGCGGCGGACGGGUGAGUAAUGUCUGGGAAACUGCCUGAUGGAGGGGGAUAACUACUGGAAACGGUAGCUAAUACCGCAUAACGUCGCAAGACCAAAGUGGGGGACCUUCGGGCCUCAUGCCAUCAGAUGUGCCCAGAUGGGAUUAGCUAGUAGGUGGGGUAAUGGCUCACCUAGGCGACGAUCCCUAGCUGGUCUGAGAGGAUGACCAGCCACACUGGAACUGAGACACGGUCCAGACUCCUACGGGAGGCAGCAGUGGGGAAUAUUGCACAAUGGGCGCAAGCCUGAUGCAGCCAUGCCGCGUGUGUGAAGAAGGCCUUCGGGUUGUAAAGCACUUUCAGCGGGGAGGAAGGCGAUAAGGUUAAUAACCUUGUCGAUUGACGUUACCCGCAGAAGAAGCACCGGCUAACUCCGUGCCAGCAGCCGCGGUAAUACGGAGGGUGCAAGCGUUAAUCGGAAUUACUGGGCGUAAAGCGCACGCAGGCGGUCUGUCAAGUCGGAUGUGAAAUCCCCGGGCUUAACCUGGGAACUGCAUUCGAAACUGGCAGGCUAGAGUCUUGUAGAGGGGGGUAGAAUUCCAGGUGUAGCGGUGAAAUGCGUAGAGAUCUGGAGGAAUACCGGUGGCGAAGGCGGCCCCCUGGACAAAGACUGACGCUCAGGUGCGAAAGCGUGGGGAGCAAACAGGAUUAGAUACCCUGGUAGUCCACGCCGUAAACGAUGUCGAUUUGGAGGUUGUGCCCUUGAGGCGUGGCUUCCGGAGCUAACGCGUUAAAUCGACCGCCUGGGGAGUACGGCCGCAAGGUUAAAACUCAAAUGAAUUGACGGGGGCCCGCACAAGCGGUGGAGCAUGUGGUUUAAUUCGAUGCAACGCGAAGAACCUUACCUGGUCUUGACAUCCACAGAACUUUCCAGAGAUGGAUUGGUGCCUUCGGGAACUGUGAGACAGGUGCUGCAUGGCUGUCGUCAGCUCGUGUUGUGAAAUGUUGGGUUAAGUCCCGCAACGAGCGCAACCCUUAUCCUUUGUUGCCAGCGGUCCGGCCGGGAACUCAAAGGAGACUGCCAGUGAUAAACUGGAGGAAGGUGGGGAUGACGUCAAGUCAUCAUGGCCCUUACGACCAGGGCUACACACGUGCUACAAUGGCAUAUACAAAGAGAAGCGACCUCGCGAGAGCAAGCGGACCUCAUAAAGUAUGUCGUAGUCCGGAUUGGAGUCUGCAACUCGACUCCAUGAAGUCGGAAUCGCUAGUAAUCGUAGAUCAGAAUGCUACGGUGAAUACGUUCCCGGGCCUUGUACACACCGCCCGUCACACCAUGGGAGUGGGUUGCAAAAGAAGUAGGUAGCUUAACCUUCGGGAGGGCGCUUACCACUUUGUGAUUCAUGACUGGGGUGAAGUCGUAACAAGGUAACCGUAGGGGAACCUGCGGUUGGAUCACCUCCUUACCUUAAAGAA